UACGUAGGAUGCAAGCGUUAUCCGGAUUUAUUGGGCGUAAAGAGGGCGCAGGCGGCUUGGUAAGUCGGUUGUAAAAUCUCCUGGCUUAACUAGGAGGGACCAUCCGAUACUGCCGGGCUAGAGUGCAUCAGGCGGAGAUGGAAUUCCCGGUGUAGUGGUGAAAUGCGUAGAUAUCGGGAGGAACACCAGUGGCGAAGGCGAUCUCCGAGGAUGUUACUGACGCUGAGGGCCGAAAGCGUGGGGAGCGAAC
RNAcentral lists this ribosomal RNA (250 nucleotides) under uncultured bacterium. Its description in RNAcentral is "partial 16S ribosomal RNA". It matches the Rfam family "Bacterial small subunit ribosomal RNA", at positions 524 to 773 of the family's 1533-position model. The record is from RNAcentral.